This 414-nucleotide ribosomal RNA is filed under the name Salmonella enterica subsp. enterica serovar Schwarzengrund. Its description in RNAcentral is "bacterial SSU rRNA". It matches the Rfam family "Bacterial small subunit ribosomal RNA", at positions 1131 to 1533 of the family's 1533-position model. The record is from RNAcentral. Lineage: Bacteria; Pseudomonadati; Pseudomonadota; Gammaproteobacteria; Enterobacterales; Enterobacteriaceae.
UCGGGAACUCAAAGGAGACUGCCAGUGAUAAACUGGAGGAAGGUGGGGAUGACGUCAAGUCAUCAUGGCCCUUACGACCAGGGCUACACACGUGCUACAAUGGCGCAUACAAAGAGAAGCGACCUCGCGAGAGCAAGCGGACCUCAUAAAGUGCGUCGUAGUCCGGAUUGGAGUCUGCAACUCGACUCCAUGAAGUCGGAAUCGCUAGUAAUCGUGGAUCAGAAUGCCACGGUGAAUACGUUCCCGGGCCUUGUACACACCGCCCGUCACACCAUGGGAGUGGGUUGCAAAAGAAGUAGGUAGCUUAACCUUCGGGAGGGCGCUUACCACUUUGUGAUUCAUGACUGGGGUGAAGUCGUAACAAGGUAACCGUAGGGGAACCUGCGGUUGGAUCACCUCCUUACCUUAAAGAAG